AGAAUCAACGCUGGCGGCGUGCCUAACACAUGCAAGUCGCACGAGAAAGGGGCUUCGGCCCUGAGUAAAGUGGCGCACGGGUGAGUAACACGUGAAUGAUCUACCUCCGAGUGGGGAAUAACUGAGAGAAAUCUUGGCUAAUACCGCAUAAUACCCACGGGUCAAAGCAGCAAUGCGCUUGGAGAGGAGUUCGCGGCAGAUUAGCUAGUUGGCGGGGUAAUGGCCCACCAAGGCGAUGAUCUGUA
This 245-nucleotide ribosomal RNA is filed under the name uncultured bacterium. RNAcentral describes it as "partial small subunit ribosomal RNA". It matches the Rfam family "Bacterial small subunit ribosomal RNA", at positions 26 to 285 of the family's 1533-position model. The record is from RNAcentral.